UACGUAGGGUGCGAGCGUUGCCCGGAUUUAUUGGGCGUAAAGGGCGCGUAGGCGGCUCUGCACGUCCGUUGUGAAAUCGCCCGGCUCAACUGGGCGGGGUCAGCGGAUACGGCGGAGCUUGAGCAAGCUAGGGGGCAAUGGAAUUCCCGGUGUAGUGGUGGAAUGCGUAGAUAUCGGGAGGAACACCAGUGGCGAAGGCGGUUGCCUGGGCUUUGGCUGACGCUGAUGCGCGAAAGCGUGGGGAGCGAGUCCGG
Molecule: ribosomal RNA, 254 nt
Filed under: uncultured bacterium
Lineage: Bacteria
Description: partial 16S ribosomal RNA
Rfam family: Bacterial small subunit ribosomal RNA
Source: RNAcentral